Gavialis gangeticus (Gharial) is the source of this 201-nucleotide long non-coding RNA. RefSeq lists it as uncharacterized. The record is from RefSeq and is a predicted model, not a curated record. NCBI's taxonomy places the organism in Eukaryota, Metazoa, Chordata, Crocodylia, Gavialidae. The transcript has 3 exons.
AAAGGACUGGGGGUGGCAGUGCACAAUAAGAUGGAUAUAAAUCAGCAGUGUGCCCUUGUUGCCAAGAAGACUGACAGCAUACUAGGCUGCAUUAAUAGGAGCCUUGCCAGCAGAUCAAAGGAAGUAAUUAUUCUGCCUUAUUUUGCACUGGUAAGGUCACAUCUGAAGUACUGUGUCCAGUUUUGCCCCCCACCCCCUCAC